This 449-nucleotide ribosomal RNA is filed under the name uncultured cyanobacterium. RNAcentral describes it as "bacterial SSU rRNA". It matches the Rfam family "Bacterial small subunit ribosomal RNA", at positions 28 to 524 of the family's 1533-position model. Lineage: Bacteria; Bacillati; Cyanobacteriota. The record is from RNAcentral.
GAUGAACGCUGGCGGUAUGCUUAACACAUGCGAGUCGAACGGUCACUUCGGUGAUAGUGGCGGACGGGUGAGUAACGCGUGAGAAUCUGUCUUCAGGUCGGGGACAACAGUUAGAAAUGACUGCUAAUACCGGAUAUGCCUUAUGGUGAAAGAUUUAUUGCCUGAAAAAGAGCUCGCGUCAGAUUAGCUAGUAGGUGGUGUAAGAGACUACCUAGGCGACGAUCUGUAGCUGGUCUGAGAGGACGAUCAGCCACACUGGAACUGAGACACGGUCCAGACUCCUACGGGAGGCAGCAGUGGGGAAUUUUCCGCAAUGGGCGAAAGCCUGACGGAGCGAUACCGCGUGAGGGACGAAGGCUUUUGGGUCGUAAACCUCUUUUCUCAAGGAAGAUAAUGACGGUACUUGAGGAAUAAGCAUCGGCUAACUCUGUGCCAGCAGCCGCGGUAAU